GUGGGGAAUCUUCCGCAAUGGACGAAAGUCUGACGGAGCAACGCCGCGUGAACGAUGACGGCCUUCGGGUUGUAAAGUUCUGUUAUACGGGACGAAUGGUACGACGGUCAAUACCCGUCGUAAGUGACGGUACCGUAAGAGAAAGCCACGGCUAACUACGUGCCAGCAGCCGCGGUAAUACGUAGGUGGCAAGUGUUGCCCGGAAUUAUUGGGCGUAAAGGGCGCGCAGGCGGCGUCGUAAGUCGGUCUUAAAAGUGCGGGGCUUAACCACGUGAGGGGACCGAAACUGCGAUGCUAGAGUAUCGGAGAGGAAAGCGGAAUUCCUAGUGUAGCGGUGAAAUGCGUAGAUAUUAGGAGGAACACCAGUGGCGAAAGCGGCUUUCUGGACGACAACUGACGCUGAGGCGCGAAAGCCAGGGGAGCAAACGGGAUUAGAAACCCUGGUAGUCC
RNAcentral lists this ribosomal RNA (450 nucleotides) under uncultured bacterium. RNAcentral describes it as "partial 16S ribosomal RNA". It matches the Rfam family "Bacterial small subunit ribosomal RNA", at positions 354 to 796 of the family's 1533-position model. The record is from RNAcentral.